Molecule: ribosomal RNA, 253 nt
Filed under: uncultured bacterium
Lineage: Bacteria
Description: partial 16S ribosomal RNA
Rfam family: Bacterial small subunit ribosomal RNA
Source: RNAcentral
GACGAAGGGGGCGAGCGUUGUUCGGAGUUACUGGGCGUAAAGGGCGCGUAGGCGGCGCUCCAAGUUAGGCGUGAAAGCCCCGGGCUCAACCUGGGAAUUGCGCUUAAGACUGGAGUGCUCGAGUGCGGAAGAGGUGAGUGGAAUUCCCAGUGUAGAGGUGAAAUUCGUAGAUAUUGGGAAGGACACCAGUGGCGAAGGCGGCUCACUGGUCCGCAACUGACGCUGAGGCGCGAAAGCGUGGGGAGCAAACAGG